Long non-coding RNA from Triticum dicoccoides, 916 nucleotides. RefSeq lists it as uncharacterized. The transcript is spliced from 2 exons. The record is from RefSeq and is a predicted model, not a curated record. Lineage: Eukaryota; Viridiplantae; Streptophyta; Magnoliopsida; Poales; Poaceae.
UUUGCCUCUGGCACGAGGAGAAAGCUCAAUCGAGCUCGGGAGAUUGAUCUGGCGACAUGUCGAGGUGGGGAAGUGGCUUGCUCCCAGCCCUGUUGCUCGCGGCCAUGCUGCUAUGUGCGUGGCCGCUGGUGGUGGUCGGAGAAGACGCACCUCAAGCUUACGCAUACCCAGCACCUAAGCCAUGCAAUCCAGGGAGCAGAGGACCUUGCUCUAGACCAUGCCAGCCUACGCAUCCUUGUACUGUUCCUCCGUGUCCUCGUCCGCGACCUUGUCCGCCUGGCUCGACUUGAACAGUUCGUCCAAUUUCGUACAACCGGUAGAAUAGUAGGUCCGGCCAGAUCCAGUUAAUUAUGUACUCCUUCCGUACGGAUUAUUUGUCGCAGAAAUGGAUAAAAAUGAAAAUAUGUAGAACUAAAAUACAUCUAGAUACAUCUAUUCCUUCGACAAGUAUUUCCGGACAAAGAGGUGCGUAUUAUAUAAGAAAACAGCACAGAAAAUAUAUAGAAAUAUGAUGUGAGAUUUUUAAUCGUGUUAAACCAAACGUUUUUCAUGGCAAUUAUAAGUUAUCAUGAUGAUAGUAAUUUUUUUUGGCAAGCAUGUCAAAUUCUGACAAAAAACUGAACACGCCAAGGAUUUGCUAUGCUUGCUAAAGAAAUUUGGCAUCAUCACGACAACUAUAAUUGCCAUGAAAAAUCUUUGAUUUGCGACGGUAAAAAAUCUGACAUUCAAUUAGUAGCGAAGUCCAAAAGUACAAAAUUGCAGCAUCUUAAUUUCAAUAAUGAACUUGGAGUGCAUAUGUAUAGCAUGACAUGUCUUCAUGGAAUAUUAGUUCAUAGUCUGUCGCCACCAUCUAUGAGACGAUGACUUUGUAUGAAUGUGUAUCAGAUUUAAAUCAAGUAUCUGUUGUCUCUAUUUU